UGGGGGAUAUUGCACAAUGGGCGAAAGCCUGAUGCAGCGACGCCGCGUGGGGGAUGAAGGCUUUCGGGUUGUAAACCUCUUUCGCUAUCGAACAAGGCCCGCUUAGGGUGGGUUGAGGGUAGGUGGAGAAGAAGCGCCGGCUAACUACGUGCCAGCAGCCGCGGUAAUACGUAGGGCGCGAGCGUUGUCCGGAAUUAUUUGGCGUAAAGGGCUUGUAGGCGGCUUGUUGCGCCUGCUGUGAAAACGCGGGGCUUAACUUCGAGCGUGCAGUGGGGACGGGCAGGCUUGAGUGUGGUAGGGGUGACUGGAAUUCCAGGUGUAGAGGUGGAAUGCGCAGAUAUCUGGAGGAACACCGAUGGCGAAGGCAGGGCACUGGGCCAUUACUGACGCUGAGGAGCGAAAGCAUGGGUAGAGAACAGG
Molecule: ribosomal RNA, 420 nt
Filed under: bacterium
Lineage: Bacteria
Description: partial 16S ribosomal RNA
Rfam family: Bacterial small subunit ribosomal RNA
Source: RNAcentral